This 379-nucleotide long non-coding RNA is filed under the name Carica papaya (papaya). RNAcentral's name for it is "long non-coding RNA (CPAP_LNC006339)". Lineage: Eukaryota; Viridiplantae; Streptophyta; Magnoliopsida; Brassicales; Caricaceae. The record is from RNAcentral.
AAGGAGUAAAUUAGGGAUCCUCAUUCGUCAAGUGAGAGCUGAAAAUGAGAGAGGAAGAGAGCUGAGUUGAGCGAGUGAGCGAGGAGGCCGAGCUGAGUGAGGAUCGAACCGAGAGGGAGAAGAGAACACCACAAUAGAGAAAGACAAGCUAGGACAACUAGAAGGAGAGAAGGAAACGCGACCGAAGAGGAAAGAAGAGGUGUCGUGGAGGUGGAAGGCCGAAGGAAAGAAAGAAAAAGUCGUGACCAAGAAACGCCGCGUUGCUAACAGAUUAUGAAGCUGUGUUGCACAUGAUGCUGACGUUCAGAAAACAUGUGAGUUUUCGUCCAUUUCCACUUGGUUGAGUUUUCCUUUUUGUGUUUCACUCUAACGGGCAUGC